Molecule: RNA transcript, 6791 nt
Organism: Bombina bombina (fire-bellied toad)
Lineage: Eukaryota; Metazoa; Chordata; Amphibia; Anura; Bombinatoridae
Gene: SRF
Gene name: serum response factor
Exons: 8
Source: RefSeq, a predicted model, not a curated record
CUGUCAUUACUUGGCACGCGUGUUUAGGUUGUGAUGCGGCUCCAAAUGUGAUUGGCCGGAGAUUGUACGCGGGGAACAGCGGUCAGGGCGAGUGAGGCAGACGGGAGUGAGAGUUAGUUCCCCGGCCUGACUUAGCCCGAGCACUCAGAACAGAGCCCCGGCCUGACUCAGUGACACAGCCCGGUGUGAGAGCAGGUUCCUUGGCCUAACCUAGUGACACAGCCCGGUGUGAGAGCAGCUUCCCCCGGCCUGACCUAGUGACACAGCCCGGUGUGAGAGCAGCUUCCCCCGGCCUGACCCAGUGACACAGCCCGGUGUGAGAGCACAGAGCCCCGGCCUGACUCAGUGACACAGCCCGGUAUGAGAGCAGGUUCCCCGGCCUGACCCAGUGACACAGCCCGGUGUGAGAGCACAGAGCCCCGGCCUGACUCAGUGACACAGCCCGGUGUGAGAGCAGCUUCCCCCGGCCUGACCCAGUGACACAGCCCGGUGUGAGAGCACAGAGCCCCGGCCUGACUCAGUGACACAGCCCGGUAUGAGAGCACAGAGCCCCGGCCUGACUCAGUAACACAGCCCGGUAUGAGAACAGGUUCCCCGGCCUGACCCAGUGACACAGCCCGGUAUGAGAACAGGUUCCCCGGCCUGACCCAGUGACACAGCCCGGUGUGAGAGCACAGAGCCCCGGCCUGACCCAGUGACAAAGCCCGGUGUGAGAGCAGCUUUCCCUGGCCUGACCCAGUGACAAAGCCCGGUGUGAGAGCACAGAGCCCCGGCCUGACUCAGUGACACAGCCCGGUAUGAGAACAGGUUCCCCGGCCUGACCCAGUGACACAGCCCGGUGUGAGAGCACAGAGCCCCGGCCUGACCCAGUGACAAAGCCCGGUGUGAGAGCAGCUUUCCCUGGCCUGACCCAGUGACACAGCCCGGUGUGAGAGCACAGAGCCCCGGCCUAACCUAGUGACACAGCCCGGUGUGAGAGCAGCUUCCCCCUGGCCUGACCCAGUGACACAGCCCGGUGUGAGAGCAGCUUCCCCCUGGCCUGACCCAGUGACACAGCCCGGUGUGAGAGCACAGAGCCCCGGCCUGACCCAGUGACACAGCCCGGUGUGAGAGCAGCUUCCCCCUGGCCUGACCCAGUGACACAGCCCGGUGUGAGAGCACAGAGCCCCGGCCUGACCCAGUGACACAGCCCGGUGUGAGAGCACAGAGCCCCGGCCUGACCCAGUGACACAGCCCGGUGUGAGAGCACAGAGCCCCGGCCUGACCCAGUGACACAGCCCGGUGUGAGAGCAGCUUCCCCCGGCCUGACCCAGUGACACAGCCCGGUGUGAGAGCACAGAGCCCCGGCCUGACCCAGUGACACAGCCCGGUGUGAGAGCAGCUUCCCCCUGGCCUGACCCAGUGACACAGCCCGGUGUGAGAGCAGCUUCCCCCGGCCUGACCCAGUGACACAGCCCGGUGUGAGAGCACAGAGCCCCUGAUCACCAGUCUGCCCCCCUGUUCCUGGGUCCUCUUCCCCAUGGCUAGGCGCUGACUCGCGGGAAUGUUGCCCAGCCAGGCCGGGGCGGCCCCGGGUAACGGCUCAGCAGUAGGCCGCAGCUCGGGGCUCCCAUUACAGCGCAGGGGAGGCCGCACGAUGGGUCCAGCAGUCGGGCAGCGCUAUGAUGGACCCUCGGGGAGCGGAGCCGCUGUGUACAGCGGGAGUGAGGGCAGCUCGGACUCUGGGGAGGACGAUGAGCCGCCUGUGGUCUCCCGCGGAGUGAAGCGGGGGCAUGGCGACCUAGAACUGUCAGACCCCGGAGUGCAGCCGGGGCUUUACCCAGGGAGCGGGGCCGCUGUAUCCGGGGCUAAGCCGGGCAAGAAAACGCGGGGCCGGGUGAAGAUCAAGAUGGAGUUUAUCGAUAACAAACUGAGGAGGUACACCACGUUCAGCAAGAGGAAGACCGGCAUCAUGAAGAAGGCUUAUGAGCUGUCUACCCUGACUGGGACGCAGGUCCUGCUUCUUGUGGCCAGUGAGACGGGGCACGUGUACACCUUUGCCACGCGAAAGCUGCAGCCUAUGAUCACUAGUGAGACUGGGAAAGCACUAAUCCAGACCUGCCUGAACUCUCCGGACUCACCACCACGAUCGGACCCCUCCACAGAUCAGAGGAUGAGUGCCACGGGCUUUGAGGAAACUGAUCUCACCUAUCAGGUGUCUGAGUCUGACAGCAGCGGGGAGACUAAGGACUCCUUGAAGCCAGCAUUUACUGUUGCUAACCUUCCUGGUACCUCAAGUAUCCAGACUGCUCCCACUACCUCUACCUCGAUGCAGGUCAGCAGUGGUCACUCGUUCCCCAUCACCAACUACCUGGCCCCAGUCACAAGUGCCAACGGGACUGUUCUGAAGACUGAGGGCAGCUCCAUGAGCACAGGAGGCCUCAUGCAACUUCCCACUGGCUUCACCCUCAUGUCUGGUGGAGCUGUAGCCCAGCAGGUUCCUGUACAAACCAUCCAAGUUCAUCCUGCCACCCAGACAUCUCCGUCCAGUGACAGCAGCUCAGACCUGGUCCAGACGUCGUCUAGUGGCACAGUGACUCUGCCUGCUGCUAUCAUGACUUCUUCUGUGCCCACGACUGUGAGCGGUCACAUGAUGUACCCAAGCCCACACGCAGUGAUGUAUGCGCCAACAGAAGGAAGUUUGGCUGUGCUCAAUGCCUUCUCCUCAGGGCCGGCCAUGCAAGUGUCUCACACCCAGGAGCAAGGUGGCGUCCAGCAGGUAUUCCUCACUGCUCCAUCUGGCACAGUUCAGAUACCGGUGUCUGCCGUACAGCUCCACCAGCACCUAGAGUAUUAUCAGUGAGGCUACUGAACAAAAAGUGUACACAUAUUAUCACUCUGCUACACCAUGUUAUGGCCGUCAUCGGACAGCAGUCAAACAGCAGCAGUAACCUCACAGAGCUACAAGUAGUUAAUCUGGACACUUCACAUAACAAUAAAAAUGACUGAACUCCCUGGACUCCUCCUCUAGUCGGGAGCUUGACACAGCAACUUACAGACUGCUCCACUUAUUUAUUGUUGCCUUUUUCACGUUUUCCCUUCUUCCUAUGUUUUUGUUUAUUGCACACAAACAAGAUUUACUUUCCCAUCAGAAGAGGAGCUUCAACUCGGACAGUUUGAGUAGGAAUUAACCCUUUGCCAUUGGUGCCUGUCACCACUUCCUAAUGAGUGCUUUAUGAAGGGUUAACUGAUGUGGGGUUCUUCUGAUUAGGGAAAGUAAAGAAAAGCUCAGCACACAGAACAGCGAUGUUUGCACUGAAGCUGCUGCAGAAUCUGGGGGGGAGAGGUUACAACCCAGUCUAGAUGCACCUGCAGGUUAUGAAGAUCAGUCCUGAGUGAGACGUCUGCGUACAACAAAGCCGGAUCUGCUGGGGAGGUUACAAAGCAGUCUACAAGUACCUGCAGGUUAUGAAGAUCAGUCCUGAGUGAGAUGUCUGCGUACAACAAAGCCGGAUCUGCUGGGGAGGUUACAACCCAGUCUAGAUGCACCUGCAGGUUAUGAAGAUCAGUCCUGAGUGAGACGUCUGCGUACAACAAAACCGGAUCUGCUGGGGAGGUUACAAAGCAGUCUACAAGUACCUGCAGGUUAUGAAGAUUAGUCCUGAGUGAGACGUCUGCGUACAACAAAAAGGAUCUGCUGGGGAGGUUACAACCCAGUCUAGAUGCACCUGCAGGUUAUGAAGAUCAGUCCUGAGUGAGACGUCUGCGUACAACAAAACCGGAUCUGCUGGGGAGGUUACAAAGCAGUUUACAAGUACCUGCAGGUUAUGAAGAUCAGACUUGAGUGAGACGUCUGCUUACAACAAAGCCGAAUCUGCGCCUGAGAGGGAUGUUUGUAAUCAUGGCUUGUUCCCUACAGUGAGUGCUUGCUCAGGUGCCAUGUGUGUCUUCCUCUAGAGGUGAGAGGGUGAAUGGUUUCAAUAGGGUAAAUAAACCCCUCGCUGCAGCAGAUCCGAACAGAAGCCUUUAUUUUUCUAAGUGUGAAUUCUCAGUAUUUAUGUAUGUGCGGGAAUGUGUAAAGUUCACACCUUUAUAUGGGGGGGGGGGGGGGAUGGGAGUGUGGAAAUGAUUAUGAAAGUUUUGUUUUUGUGUUUUUAAUCUUUUAGUGAUACAUUUCUAAAUAACGGUUAUGUAAAGCUCAGCUGCCUGUGGAUCCAGGUUUUAUAAAGCAGGUUCCUCUGGCACUUCCUGCAUUACCUACACUGUGGGUAUUUGUUCACUACAGGGCUGGGGCUUGACACCUACCAGUAUAUCAAAGCCUUGCUAAUCACUUGUACUGUAAUGAUGGAUUGGAUUCAGGGGUGUGUAGAUAUCAUUUGAGGUUUUGCUGCUUUUUACAAUCAGACAAUGUAGAGAGGAACUAGUUUGAGAAGGGGGUAUGUGGUUCCAACGGUACGGGCUGUGCCACCUGUGGCUCUCGUAUCGGUAUACAAUCCUAAAUAUCGCAGGGCUCAAAUGUGGUCCCAAUAAACAUUCUCUGCUCCCUGAUAGGACUCCCCAGACUCAGAGGUUCUGUAUUUUGACAGAAUUUGCUAUAAUUAAGUUGUUGCCUAUAUGUAGCUUCAUACAUACAGAGGAGGACAAGGUUUAUCAGAUUGUAUUGAAAUUAUUUUUUAUAGUAAAAUAAUUAACCUUUUUUUUUUUAUUUAAAAGUAAAUGUUUUGUCUGUCAGCCCCGGAUAUUCUGAUCUGCAGUGCGAGUACAUGAAAUAUUACCUAAGAGCUCAGGAAUCAGACUUCUGCUCUUUGCCCCUCAGGGGUGUUUGCCCCGUACUUAAACCUGCUCAUGUCCACGGCUGGGUAUUGUAUCUGUAUUGUGCCAAACAACCCACGUCCAGGGGUUAUGUGACAUGAUCAGUAGCGUUACUGAUGUAAUAGGUGGGGUUUAUCUAGCUGUAAGGGACUGGUUUGCACACAGCGAUCCUGGCGGUACAGGAGAAUCUCACUGCUAGUCCCCCUCAUGUAAGUCUGAUUCCCACCAUGGUAGCAGCCUCCUUCCCUUGUGUGAGGCCCAAAUAGCCCCUAUUCAUGUCUAAUUACCCCACCUGUCUGUGCUGCUGCUCCCUCUCCAGUGCUUUUGACAGACUUUCAUUUUAACCAAUCAGUGCUGACUCAUAAAUAACUCCACGGGUAGUGAGUACAAUGUUAUCUUUAUGGCACACAUGUACAAGCACUGUCUAACUGUGAUAAACUGUAAUAAUGCACUGAGAUGAGAGGUGGCGUUCAGCAUAUCUUUAGCAUAUCAGCCUACCUAUGUUUAGCUUUCAACAAAUAAAACCAAGAGAACAAAGCAAAUUUGAUGAUAAAUGUAAAUUGGAUAAUUGUUUAAAGGGACAGUCUAGACCAAAAUAAACUUUUAUGAUUCAGAUAGAGCAUGUAAUUGUAAACAAUUUUCCAAUUUACUUUUAUCACCAAUUUUGCUUUGUUCUCUUGGUCUUCUUAGUUGAAAGCUUAACCUGGGAGGUUCAUAUGCUAAUUUCUUAGACCUUAAAGGCCACCUCUUUUCAGAAUGCAUUUUAAGUUUUUCACCACUAGAGGGUGUUAGAUCAUGUAUUUCAUAUAGAUAACACUGUGCUCGUGCACGUGAAGUUAGGCACUGAUUGGCUGAACUGCAAGUCUGUCAAAAGAACUGAAAUAAAGGGGCAGUUUGCAGAGGCUUAGAUACAAGGUAAUCACAGAGGUAAUAAGUAUAUUAAUAUAACUGUUGGUUAUGCAAUACUGGGGAAUGGGUAAUAAAGGGAUUAGCUAUCUUUUAAAACAAUAAAAAUUCUGGUGUAGACUGUCCCUUUAAAAUUACUGCCCUAUCUGAAAAAAUGAAAGUUUGAUUUUGGCUCUGACACAACAAGUGAAUGAUAUAGUACUAUAGUAACAAUACUUAAUGCUCUUGACACCACACAUGAAUGAUAUAGUACUAUAGUAACAAUACUUCAUGCUGACACCACAAGUGAAUGAUAUAGUACUAUAGUAACAAUACUUAAUGCUGACACCACAAGUGAAUGAUAUAGUACUAUAGUAACAAUACUUCAUGCUGACACCACAAGUGAAUGAUAUAGUACUAUAGUAACAAUACUUCAUGCUGACACCACAAGUGAAUGAUAUAGUACUAUAGUAAUAAUACUUCAUGCUGACACCACAAGUGAAUGAUAUAGUACUAUAGUAACAAUACUUUAUGCUCUGACACCACACAUGAAUGAUAUAGUACUAUAGUAAUACUUAAUGCAGGGAGCGUGACUUUAGAGUGUCAGUACUUGCUGGGCUCACCAUGCAGGGAGGGUGACUUUAGCGUGUCAGUACUAACGUUUGAUGGCAGAUGAGAUUCAGAACGUACAUGUUAUCAUGUAAAGAAAACCCCUUCUCUAUAUACCAGGCAGUUUUAUUGCUUACCAGACUAUUCCAUAAAUUAACCACACUUUCUGUAAAGAGGUACUCAUGAACCUGCUGACCUUCAGAUGGUGACUGCUAAUGUCUCCUGCUUUAGGAACAGAGUUUAAUGAUCACAGAAAUGAACCAGGGGAGAGUUAUGGAUUGGCUGCUGCUGCUGGGUUUCUGCAAAGAUCUCCUGAGACCUUUUCAUUGUGUGCAAAUUUCACUUAUUUUCUUAUAAGUUACUCUGAUUUGGUUUUUGUUGUGCUUGUGUGUAUUUUUUCCCCAGGGAAAGUUGUGUAAGUAAAACACAGUACCAUGUACAUAAACCCCCCCUUUUUGUAUAAAACAAUAUUUCAAUAAAUGUAUCAUUUUGUGCACAUUUUUCUA